GUCCUGGGAAGCAGCCGCCAUAUUUCAUUGUGUUGUCAACGUAGUUAAUUCAAUUAAUGUUAUUUGUUUUUUUUACGUGUGAGGGCCAUUGUUUUGCUAUUCUGAAUCCGGGAUAUGCAAAGGAUGGUACACGCUAGCUAAAAGGAAAGGAUUCUACAUAUUCAGUGAAAGCGCAUUGACGGUUGGGGAGUGUCCCAUGAUUCAUACAAAACUGGACCAAGGAAAGUUAUUGUUGCAGGAAAAAGUUGAUGGACCCGAAUAGAGCUGGUUACUUCACAGUUAUCACCCAGCAGCAACGACCAAGUCAUAAAAGACCAUUGAGUCACACUACCAGAUCCUUUGGACUUAAUCAUGAACGUCCCAGAAGGAUUUAUUCUGGAAUAAGAAUUGUAAAUGGAAAUAUAGAGAGAAGAGAUGAGUGCACUACACAGACCAAUGCAUCUGGGGCUAAUGGACAUCAAAGGCAGUCUUCAGUACCAUCUGUGUUGCGUGGGGUCCAAUGUAUAGCACCAGCUUGAUUUG
Molecule: long non-coding RNA, 522 nt
Organism: Macrobrachium nipponense
Lineage: Eukaryota; Metazoa; Arthropoda; Malacostraca; Decapoda; Palaemonidae
Exons: 3
Source: RefSeq, a predicted model, not a curated record